Molecule: ribosomal RNA, 253 nt
Filed under: uncultured bacterium
Lineage: Bacteria
Description: partial 16S ribosomal RNA
Rfam family: Bacterial small subunit ribosomal RNA
Source: RNAcentral
UACGAAGGGGGCUAGCGUUGCUCGGAAUCACUGGGCGUAAAGCGCACGUAGGCGGAUCUUUAAGUCAGGGGUGAAAUCCUGGAGCUCAACUCCAGAACUGCCUUUGAUACUGGGGAUCUCGAGUCCGGGAGAGGUGAGUGGAACUGCGAGUGUAGAGGUGAAAUUCGUAGAUAUUAGCUAGAACACCAGUGGCGAAGGCGGCCAACUGGUCCGGUACUGACGCUGAGGUGCGAAAGCGUGGGGAGCGAACAGG